Hirundo rustica (Barn swallow) is the source of this 2789-nucleotide long non-coding RNA. RefSeq lists it as uncharacterized. The record is from RefSeq and is a predicted model, not a curated record. The transcript is spliced from 3 exons. NCBI's taxonomy places the organism in Eukaryota, Metazoa, Chordata, Aves, Passeriformes, Hirundinidae.
UUCGUUUCCAUUUUCAUGUUUUCUGACUUUGCUUCAGUAACAUAACUUUUACAUUUAGAUGACUUAAGAGAUUGAUUUUUCUACUCAGUCCCUUGGCUCGAGAGUCACCGUGUAAUGCAAGGCAGCUGUUGCUCCAUCUGAAAGCUCUAGUACCAAGAACUUGCAUAGAGAGAGAAACGUGCACUGGGGAAGAGAGGGAUGGACGCAGCAGGGAUGUGCUGCUGUGACAUUUUAUGAGUCUGUGUCAGAGCCCUAGCCACAUCCUCUCCACCACAGGAGGACUCCUCAACCUGGACUCUCGGAGCAUCCAUUAAAAUCCCAGGUGGCUUUGUUCCCUCCUUGGGGCUGCUGUUCAUGAUUUGUGCUACCCCAGAGAAGCAGGAUCUACCCUGGCAGGUAUUUCUCAAGGCAAGGAGCCUUGAUGCCUUUGCAGCGCCCCAGUUGGGACAGCCCAGUGGAGAUGCUGCAGCGUGCUGGAAGAGGAUGAGACUCAUUUCGUGGGUCAGUAUAGAAAUGCACCUUCCCUGGGGAUCUCAGCCUCUGGGGGAUACUGAAUCAGCACCGUGGAAAACAAGAAGAGAGGAAACUUUGAAGCCUUUAGGAACCCAGCAUACUCCUGGCCUCUGUGCAGGGCAUCUCAGCAACAUCAGCUCAGGAUGAAAGCUGGAUCCACUCUGAGACAACAUGGGCUGUAUGUCUGGAGACAUGUACAGCCUUAUAAAGAAGAGAGGUGCUGGACCAAACCCCACAGUGUUUUCACCCUUUGAGUUAAAUAAAGAGGCAUUUUUAUCCAGCUGUAGCUGCACCUGAGUUGCUAUCCUCCUGCGGCAUGAAAAUAAGACCUGAAAUUUGCCUGACAAUAUUAUUUUCCUACACGGGUCACCUACGCUGGUGAGCUGGUGAGGGUUAUUUUAUUCUCAUGCCAUUACCUGUCACCACAGGGCCGCUCUGAUCUAAGGCAGUGGUCUAAAACAACAUUCCAGGGCAAGGUGUAUGGCUAUACUCAAUGCUCUGGGUUUCCCACGUCUGGGAAGCCGAAAUCCCAGCUCAUACCUGCUGGUAGGAUAGUGGAUAGGUAUAGGCCCAUCAAACCCUUGCCUCCCCUGUGCAUUACACUCACUCACACCUGGAGCAAGGCCACGCUGCACAGGUCUCUGAAAAGGCCACAAGUGAAGACCUCAGCAGGGCUCAAGGUCCUCCUGGAGUGGGCUGAAGACAGAAGAGCUGGAAGAAUGCUGACAUCUCCUGCUCACACGGAUGCUGCUCCACGGGGAGCGUGGGUGGCCGGGCCUGCUCACGGCCUUCGCUUUCUGAUGCGAAUGCAGGGGAACCGCUGGGAGAUCUGCUCUCUCGAGGGAUCUCCCCAGCGUCCCAGGGGAUUUCCUUCAAAAAUUAGAGGGUUCCCUCCUGGUUUUAAGCAGCUUCAAAGCCAGGUCUGCCAUUUCCCUUUGAUGUCCAGGAAAAAUUCCACGAUAAUUUACGUGGGCCCAUUUAGGCCCUAAACAGGAGGAGAGGACCUACGUGUUUCUCUACCGCUACGGCCUUUAAGACUUGCCAGACUCCUGGCAUUUCCUGCCUCAGCAUUAGGGAACUUUACACAUCCCUUGGCUCGCACGUGUGUGUCAGGGCCCUUGCCCCAGGGCUGGGGGUGAGCUGUGUGGCGCGGGAGCGCGGCUCAAGCCCUCUGAGCUCCCAGUACGCCCAGCAGUGUCGAGGGUGGUGUUACGUGGCCUCCCCGGAGCCAGCCCUUGGGCUCGCUGCCCCGUCCUCAGCAUCGGCGGGGGCUGUGAGGCAGUGCCUGGCCCCGAGCGCUCCGAAAUCCUUUGCAGGCAGAGGCGUGGGAGAACCCGCUCCUCCGUCACGGCUGAGGUCAUGGGCGCCUCCAGCACACCGGCUCGCACACACCGACACUGAAACACAGAGCGGGAAGGAGAGAAAUUGCCCCUUUUUCGGCGUCAAUGGUCCCUCAACAACACACAGAGCGGCUUCGGCUGGGUUUAGCUUGACUUGUGCAGCUUCAGAGAACCUUCUCAGUCCCAGACACGGUCUUUCCUGGGCAGAAGCCUGCUGGCAAAGCCUGAAAAGUGGCAGUGGAUCUGUCUCUUUGCUGGGGUAAAAUGUAAAGCUGCAGGGCCCGGUGUUGUCCCACAGUUGCCAUCUGCAAAUACCAAAACCACAUUGAAACCAAGCUAACGAAACACUCAAAUCUAAAAUUAACGAGACGCUCAGAUAUAUAAAAUACAGCUGUAAUUCACAAUUCUAUUUAAAUUUUAUUCCUGCACUUGCAAUUGAAGACAUUUAUAUUAAAAAAAAGAAAAAAGGGAGUAGGGAUUUGUAUUUAUGAGUAGUAAGGAAGGGCUGGAAAUGGAAAGAAGAGGGCUUGUGCAGCCUUCCUGCUGACAUACAGACUUCUCCAAGAGCAUCCCACCAAUGCUGUUAGCUCUCACUCACCAACUCUCAGGCCCUGCAGCUGUACACAUCUGUGUCUAAGUAUCUGAUUUCUUUUUCACUCUUGUUUAUGGAGUUGUAGCUGCUCCUGAUCAAAGUGACUGCAGAUAAGAUCCCACCAUGUGCUGAACUCAGAAGCAGAAGCUUGUGUCAUCAUCCUCUUCCAUGGGUUCAUGUGUCCGUCCCACCAUAGGUGGAGAAAAUGAAGAGUAUAAAACCUCCCAAACCCCAGUCUUUAACUCUUCUUUGGGCAGAAUGUUUUACCAUAUUGAUUUCAUUUGCAUUAAAAAUGCUUCUCUGGAAAUGAAAGACUUGCAUCUGACUCAUUAUUUUAGAUCUGA